Molecule: ribosomal RNA, 454 nt
Filed under: Bacillus sp. (in: firmicutes)
Lineage: Bacteria; Bacillati; Bacillota; Bacilli; Caryophanales; Bacillaceae
Description: bacterial SSU rRNA
Rfam family: Bacterial small subunit ribosomal RNA
Source: RNAcentral
UCGAGCGAAUGGGAUUAGAAGAGCUUGCUCUUAUGAAGUUAGCGGCGGACGGGUGAGUAACACGUGGGUAACCUGCCCAUAAGACUGGGAUAACUCCGGGAAACCGGGGCUAAUACCGGAUAACAUUUUGAACCGCAUGGUUCGAAAUUGAAAGGCGGCUUCGGCUGUCACUUAUGGAUGGACCCGCGUCGCAUUAGCUAGUUGGUGAGGUAACGGCUCACCAAGGCAACGAUGCGUAGCCGACCUGAGAGGGUGAUCGGCCACACUGGGACUGAGACACGGCCCAGACUCCUACGGGAGGCAGCAGUAGGGAAUCUUCCGCAAUGGACGAAAGUCUGACGGAGCAACGCCGCGUGAGUGAUGAAGGCUUUCGGGUCGUAAAACUCUGUUGUUAGGGAAGAACAAGUGCUAGUUGAAUAAGCUGGCACCUUGACGGUACCUAACCAGAAAGCCA